ACUCCUACGGGAGGCAGCAGUGGGGAAUAUUGCACAAUGGGGGAAACCCUGAUGCAGCCAUGCCGCGUGUGUGAAGAAGGCCUCGGUUGUAAAGCACUUUCAGUAGGGAGGAAGGUAGUGUAGUUAACACCUGCAUUAUUUGACGUUACCUACAGAAGAAGCACCGGCUAACUCCGUGCCAGCAGCCGCGGUAAUACGGAGGGGUGCGAGCGUUAAUCGGAAUUACUGGGCGUAAAGCGCAUGCAGGCGGCCUGUUAAGUCAGAUGUGAAAGCCCGGGGGCUUAACCUCGGAAUUGCAUUUGAAACUGGCAGGCUAGAGUCUUGUAGAGGGGGUAGAAUUUCAGGUGUAGCGGUGAAAUGCGUAGAGAUCUGAAGGAAUACCAGUGGCGAAGGCGGCCCCCUGGACAAAGACUGACGCUCAGAUGCGAAAGCGUGGGGAGCAAACAGGAUUAGACACCCUGGUAGCACAGAG
RNAcentral lists this ribosomal RNA (472 nucleotides) under uncultured bacterium. Its description in RNAcentral is "bacterial SSU rRNA". It matches the Rfam family "Bacterial small subunit ribosomal RNA", at positions 335 to 799 of the family's 1533-position model. The record is from RNAcentral.